This 253-nucleotide ribosomal RNA is filed under the name uncultured bacterium. RNAcentral's name for it is "partial 16S ribosomal RNA". It matches the Rfam family "Archaeal small subunit ribosomal RNA", at positions 474 to 727 of the family's 1478-position model. The record is from RNAcentral.
UACCAGCACCCCGAGUGGUCGGGACGUUUAUUGGGCCUAAAGCAUCCGUAGCCGGUUCUACAAGUCUUCCGUUAAAUCCAGCUGCUUAACAGAUGGGCUGCGGAAGAUACUAUGGAGCUAGGAGGCGGGAGAGGCAAGCGGUACUCGAUGGGUAGGGGUAAAAUCCGUUGAUCCAUUGAAGACCACCGGUGGCGAAGGCGGCCUGCUGGGCAGUAGCUGACACUGAGGCGCGACAGCGUGGGGAGCAAACAGG